Non-coding RNA from Blastocladiella britannica, 72 nucleotides. NCBI's taxonomy places the organism in Eukaryota, Fungi, Blastocladiomycota, Blastocladiomycetes, Blastocladiales, Blastocladiaceae. The record is from the annotation of a GenBank genome assembly.
GGGGUUGUAGCUCAGCGGUAGAGCGGCCGACUGCAGAUCGGCAGGUCCCCGGAUCAAUCCCGGGCGGCCCCU